AUCACUUCUCAGCCUUUUGGCUAAGAUCAAGUGUAGUAUCAAAUAGUGGAUUAAAAUGAAUAAUUGAUAAUUU
RNAcentral lists this small nuclear RNA (73 nucleotides) under Heterocephalus glaber (naked mole-rat). RNAcentral describes it as "U2 spliceosomal RNA". It matches the Rfam family "U2 spliceosomal RNA", at positions 1 to 114 of the family's 192-position model. Rfam says of the family: U2 is a small nuclear RNA (snRNA) component of the spliceosome (involved in pre-mRNA splicing). Lineage: Eukaryota; Metazoa; Chordata; Mammalia; Rodentia; Bathyergidae. The record is from Rfam by way of RNAcentral.